UCUUCYGUAGGUGAACCUGCGGAAGGAUCAUUACUGAGUGUGGCUCUGUCCGGAAACGGACAGGUUACCCGACCUUUUGUCAUUUGUUGCGGGAGGACGUCUGCAAACCCUCGCAAGAGGGGGACGUGCACGCGGAGCUACGGUUACCCGUCAGCGGGCGGACCGGCCCGUGCGUACGCCCGAUGUCCAAUCGUAUUUAAACUUCGGCGGAAGCGGUAGGCGUUGUCGAUUUUCGAAUUGACAGAAGACUUACCCGCCGCCGGCAGCAUUCUCACUCUGUUAAAAAAUUGAAGUCUGAAUAAAAAACAAAUAAAAGCAAAACUUUCAACAACGGAUCUCUUGGCUCUGGCAACGAUGAAGAACGCAGCGAAACGCGAAAGGUAAUGCGAAUUGCAGAAUCAGUGAGUCAUCGAAUCUUUGAACGCACAUUGCGCCUCUCGGUAUUCCGGGAGGCACGCCUGUUCGAGCGCCAUUACACACUCCAAGCACUGCUUGAUGUUGGGCGACGCUUUCUUUCGGGAAGGCGCGCCUGGAACGCGUUGGCGCCGCCGCCGGAUCACGAGCGUAGCAAGACGAAAGUCAAUCGCUCGGUUGGUCUCUGACGGACGGUCUGCAUAACCUUAACUAUCUAGUUUGGCCUCGAAUCAGGCGGGGAUACC
RNAcentral lists this ribosomal RNA (659 nucleotides) under fungal sp. SNB-LD1.32.2. RNAcentral's name for it is "LSU rRNA". Lineage: Eukaryota; Fungi. The record is from RNAcentral.